RNAcentral lists this ribosomal RNA (253 nucleotides) under uncultured bacterium. RNAcentral's name for it is "partial 16S ribosomal RNA". It matches the Rfam family "Bacterial small subunit ribosomal RNA", at positions 524 to 776 of the family's 1533-position model. The record is from RNAcentral.
UACGUGGGGUGCGAGCGUUAAUCGGAAUUACUGGGCGUAAAGCGUGCGCAGGCGGCUUUGCAAGACAGAUGUGAAAUCCCCGGGCUCAACCUGGGAACUGCAUUUGUGACUGCAAGGCUAGAGUACGGCAGAGGGGGAUGGAAUUCCGCGUGUAGCAGUGAAAUGCGUAGAUAUGCGGAGGAACACCAAUGGCGAAGGCAAUCCCCUGGGCCUGUACUGACGCUCAUGCACGAAAGCGUGGGGAGCAAACAGG